GCGCAGCCGCGAGUGUGGCUUCAGGUCGGCCGCGCGCCCCGCGCUUCUCGUCCCUCACACCCGCGGGACCUGGCACCGGCCGUUGGCGCCCCUCCCGAGCCCACAAACUUGGGGAGAGGAAGAACGAGGGAACCCCCGCCACCAUCCCCCACCCGCGCGCUCACCUUUCAUGCCAGGGCCCCGCUGCUCCACCGCUCCUGACACAUGCCGGAGCCACCGUCGCCCGGGUUUGUCUGAACUGCUUAUCUCACCCGGGGCUGUGCGGCGGCGGCUCCGCCGCUCGGGGAGGUGGAGCUUCCGGGGCCUGGGCCAAGAAACACCUGCUGCUGUCGCCGCUGAGGACACACCCAAGCGCAACGCCGCCCACUCCCCGGCCCCGGCUCGCUCCCGGCGCCCUGACCUCAGCCGGCGGGAGGUGUCGGGUUUCAGCCGCAAGCGCACGCGCGCGCACCGACAGACCGCCCGGAGCACCCAGCGCGGUCACAACCCGCCGGGUAGGUGCCGCCCCCCGCGCUCCUGGCGACCCUGGCUGUCCGGACAGUCCAGGGGGAUCUCUCAGAGGCCUCGCGGGCCACUCAUCUCCAAGAGUAGGGAGGAGUGGCUUACAACACGCCUGCCAUAUCCGAGCCUCAUAGCCGCCUCCCCAAGCGCCUGGAACAGUGCCUGGCACCUGGCCACCCACUAAGAGAGGGGAGGGAUAGGCCUUUCCUUGUGCUGAGUGGAGGGGACCACACAAUAUAGGCCGUUGGCCUCUCUCGAUCUCCAAGAUGCCUGAUCUAUUACCACAACUUUAAAGGACUUAAUGUUAAGAGCUCGGGCCACGAGCCUCUGUCCC
Molecule: long non-coding RNA, 835 nt
Organism: Mus musculus (house mouse)
Lineage: Eukaryota; Metazoa; Chordata; Mammalia; Rodentia; Muridae
Product: RIKEN cDNA 1700016A09 gene
Exons: 1
Source: RefSeq, marked validated